Molecule: ribosomal RNA, 1528 nt
Filed under: Klebsiella pneumoniae
Lineage: Bacteria; Pseudomonadati; Pseudomonadota; Gammaproteobacteria; Enterobacterales; Enterobacteriaceae
Description: bacterial SSU rRNA
Rfam family: Bacterial small subunit ribosomal RNA
Source: RNAcentral
AGAGUUUGAUCAUGGCUCAGAUUGAACGCUGGCGGCAGGCCUAACACAUGCAAGUCGAGCGGUAGCACAGAGAGCUUGCUCUCGGGUGACGAGCGGCGGACGGGUGAGUAAUGUCUGGGAAACUGCCUGAUGGAGGGGGAUAACUACUGGAAACGGUAGCUAAUACCGCAUAAUGUCGCAAGACCAAAGUGGGGGACCUUCGGGCCUCAUGCCAUCAGAUGUGCCCAGAUGGGAUUAGCUAGUAGGUGGGGUAACGGCUCACCUAGGCGACGAUCCCUAGCUGGUCUGAGAGGAUGACCAGCCACACUGGAACUGAGACACGGUCCAGACUCCUACGGGAGGCAGCAGUGGGGAAUAUUGCACAAUGGGCGCAAGCCUGAUGCAGCCAUGCCGCGUGUGUGAAGAAGGCCUUCGGGUUGUAAAGCACUUUCAGCGGGGAGGAAGGCGUUGAGGUUAAUAACCUUGUCGAUUGACGUUACCCGCAGAAGAAGCACCGGCUAACUCCGUGCCAGCAGCCGCGGUAAUACGGAGGGUGCAAGCGUUAAUCGGAAUUACUGGGCGUAAAGCGCACGCAGGCGGUCUGUCAAGUCGGAUGUGAAAUCCCCGGGCUCAACCUGGGAACUGCAUUCGAAACUGGCAGGCUAGAGUCUUGUAGAGGGGGGUAGAAUUCCAGGUGUAGCGGUGAAAUGCGUAGAGAUCUGGAGGAAUACCGGUGGCGAAGGCGGCCCCCUGGACAAAGACUGACGCUCAGGUGCGAAAGCGUGGGGAGCAAACAGGAUUAGAUACCCUGGUAGUCCACGCCGUAAACGAUGUCGAUUUGGAGGUUGUGCCCUUGAGGCGUGGCUUCCGGAGCUAACGCGUUAAAUCGACCGCCUGGGGAGUACGGCCGCAAGGUUAAAACUCAAAUGAAUUGACGGGGGCCCGCACAAGCGGUGGAGCAUGUGGUUUAAUUCGAUGCAACGCGAAGAACCUUACCUGGUCUUGACAUCCACAGAACUUUCCAGAGAUGGAUUGGUGCCUUCGGGAACUGUGAGACAGGUGCUGCAUGGCUGUCGUCAGCUCGUGUUGUGAAAUGUUGGGUUAAGUCCCGCAACGAGCGCAACCCUUAUCCUUUGUUGCCAGCGGUCCGGCCGGGAACUCAAAGGAGACUGCCAGUGAUAAACUGGAGGAAGGUGGGGAUGACGUCAAGUCAUCAUGGCCCUUACGACCAGGGCUACACACGUGCUACAAUGGCAUAUACAAAGAGAAGCGACCUCGCGAGAGCAAGCGGACCUCAUAAAGUAUGUCGUAGUCCGGAUUGGAGUCUGCAACUCGACUCCAUGAAGUCGGAAUCGCUAGUAAUCGUAGAUCAGAAUGCUACGGUGAAUACGUUCCCGGGCCUUGUACACACCGCCCGUCACACCAUGGGAGUGGGUUGCAAAAGAAGUAGGUAGCUUAACCUUCGGGAGGGCGCUUACCACUUUGUGAUUCAUGACUGGGGUGAAGUCGUAACAAGGUAACCGUAGGGGAACCUGCGGUUGGAUCACCU